Long non-coding RNA from Coturnix japonica (Japanese quail), 1240 nucleotides. RefSeq lists it as uncharacterized. The record is from RefSeq and is a predicted model, not a curated record. NCBI's taxonomy places the organism in Eukaryota, Metazoa, Chordata, Aves, Galliformes, Phasianidae.
AGCGUUGGGCCGCCUGUGGGUCCUGAUGGAGGGGAUGGGAGAUUAAGGGGCAGAACCCCAUGGAGGAACCAUGCAGCUCAGCCCCCACUGCAUUCACAUGGCACAGAGGGUGAAAAAAGAGCGAGCAGUCGAACCCCUGACAGUGUAACUGAGUGCCACAGCAGAGAAGAGUGAGGAAAUGUGAAGUGAAUGAGCACAGAGUAUGGGGCUGGACUUCACACUCACACUGGCUCUUGGUGGCCGACGCUGCUUGUUUGGGUGCUCUGAGUUGUUACCAGAGGAGCAUUUCUUCUUGCUGUUCUGAGCAGAAGCCUUGGCUGCAGCCUGAUCAAAUAAAACAUAGGUUUUAAGUCUUGUCCUCAGGCUUCCUUUGGUGCUGUUGCAUGUAGCUGAAGCGCCAUCCAUGUCUCUCACCUCCUGAACCUGUUUUUUCUUACAGCUGAAGCGACUCACCUUUGAAGCGACUGGCUGUUUCUUUCUUUGCAUCGUCUGCUUUUGCAUAUCUUUUUUUGGCUUCACCAGUGUGUUUGCAUCUUGUUUAGAAAUCAGUGGGAAGACGGGUACCUCAGCAUAGGGGCUGUUUGGAUCAGGCAUGUGAUCUGGCAAUGGGAAAUAAGAACAAGGGUCACUGACAGUGUAUCCACAGCCAGCUGCCCCUUGGUUUUGCUCUUCUGACCAGGGAAGGGCAAGGUAAGUCCCAGAUUCCUCACACUGCUGAAAUGUAGAGCUAAUCAAGCACCGGAGAUACCUCUGGGGGGCAGUUCCUUUCUCCCUAGGAGCAUCUGGAGCAGAACUCCAAGUGUUUGAUUUUGUAUCUUUCCCUGUGAGUGAUACUGGAUGGAUGAACACCUAAGGUUUGCUCCAGCUCAGUUUUCUGUGAUCCUCUUAGGAAUUACUGCCUACACUGUAGGAAACACAGAGCUUUGGGGCCAACCCUGUUAAUAAAUUUAUUGACAAUCCAGAUGAAGGGAUUGAGUGUACCCUCAAGUUAACAUUGGAUAACAUCAAGCUGGGAGGAAGCAUUGAUCUGCUUGAGGUUAGGAAGGCCCUACAGAGGGAUGUGGGCAAGCUGGAUCUCUGGGCUGAGGUCAGUGGGAUGAGUUUCAAAGAGAUCAAGGUCUGGAUCCUGCAUUUUGGUCAUGACAACCCCAUGCAUUGCUACAGGCUUGGGGCACAGUGGCUGUAAAGCUGCAUUGAGGGAAGAUUUCGAGGCAUUAGUUCACAGCUGACUGCACAUGAG